Molecule: ribosomal RNA, 440 nt
Filed under: uncultured bacterium
Lineage: Bacteria
Description: partial 16S ribosomal RNA
Rfam family: Bacterial small subunit ribosomal RNA
Source: RNAcentral
CCUACGGGAGGCAGCAGUAGGGAAUAUUGCUCAAUGGGGGAAACCCUGAAGCAGCAACGCCGCGUGGAGGAUGAAGGUUUUCGGAUUGUAAACUCCUUUUGGUAGAGAAGAUGAUGACGGUAUCUAACGAAUAAGCCCCGGCUAACUCCGUGCCAGCAGCCGCGGUAAUACGGAGGGUGCAAGCGUUACUCGGAAUCACUGGGCGUAAAGAGCGCGUAGGCGGGAGAGCAAGUCAGAUGUGAAAUCCUAUGGCUUAACCAUAGCACUGCAUUUGAAACUGUUUUUCUAGAGUAUGGGAGAGGUAGGUGGAAUUCUUGGUGUAGGGGUAAAAUGCGUAGAGAUUAAGAGGAAUACUCAUUGCGAAGGCGACCUGCUAGAACAUAACUGACGCUGAUGCGCGAAAGCGUGGGGAGCAAACAGGAUUAGAUACCCGAGUAGUC